AAUGAACGUUGGCGGCGUGGAUUAGGCAUGCAAGUCGAGCGAGAACCGUAGCAAUACGGGGACAGCGGCGAAAGGGACAGUAAUGUGUAGGUACCUACCCCCGGGUUCGGGAUAGCUGCGGGAAACUGCAGGUAAUACCGAAUAACGUCUUCGGACCAAAGGUGUGAUUCCACCUGGGGAGGGGCCUGCAUCCUAUUAGCUUGUUGGUGGGGUAACGGCUUACCAAGGCGACGAUGGGUAGCGGGUGUGAGAGCAUGACCCGCGUCAUUGGGACUGGGACACUGCCCAGACACCUACGGGUGGCUGCAGUCGAGGAUCUUCGGCAAUGGGCGCAAGCCUGACCGAGCGACGCCGCGUGCGGGAUGAAGGCCUUCGGGUUGUAAACCGCUGUCGUAGAGGAGGAAAUGCAGGAGGGUUCUCCCUUCUGUUUGACCUAUUCUAGGAGGAAGUACGGGCUAAGUUCGUGCCAGCCGCCGCGGUAA
RNAcentral lists this ribosomal RNA (482 nucleotides) under uncultured bacterium. RNAcentral's name for it is "partial 16S ribosomal RNA". It matches the Rfam family "Bacterial small subunit ribosomal RNA", at positions 28 to 523 of the family's 1533-position model. The record is from RNAcentral.